Molecule: ribosomal RNA, 116 nt
Filed under: Sinocyclocheilus anshuiensis
Lineage: Eukaryota; Metazoa; Chordata; Actinopteri; Cypriniformes; Cyprinidae
Source: RNAcentral
ACCACAGUCAUAUCACCCUGCAUCCCAAGACUGGUUGCCCACUGAAGCUAAGCAGGGCUGAGCCUGGUUAGUACCUGGAUGGGAGACCUCCUGGGAAAACUAGGUUGCUGCUGGAA